This 769-nucleotide ribosomal RNA is filed under the name uncultured bacterium. RNAcentral describes it as "bacterial SSU rRNA". It matches the Rfam family "Bacterial small subunit ribosomal RNA", at positions 8 to 796 of the family's 1533-position model. The record is from RNAcentral.
AGAGUUUGAUCCUGGCUCAGGACAAACGCUGGCGGCGUGCGUAACACAUGCAAGUUGAACGCGAAUAUAUAAGAAGUGGUAACACGGAUUGUAUGUUUGAGUAGCGGACGGGUGAGUACAACAUGAGAACCUAUCCUUCAAAGGGGGACAACGUUUGGAAACGGACGCUAAUACCCCAUAAGCCGAGAGGUUAAAGCAGCGAUGCGAUGGAGGAGGGGCUCGUGUCCUAACAGCUAGUUGGUGGGGUAAUGGCCUACCAAGGCGACGACGGGUAGCCGGCCUGAGAGGGUGUACGGCCACACUGGAACUGAGAUACGGUCCAGACUCCUACGGGAGGCAGCAGUGGGGAAUAUUGGGCAAUGGGAGAAAUCCUGACCCAGCGACGCCGCGUGAACGAAGACGGCCUUCGGGUUGUAAAGUUCUUUUAUGUGGGAAGAAAACAAUGACGGUACCACAUGAAUAAGCCCCGGCUAACUACGUGCCAGCAGCCGCGGUAAUACGUAGGGGGCGAGCGUUGUCCGGAAUUACUGGGCGUAAAGGGCAUGCAGGCUGUGAAUCAAGUCAAGUGUUAAAGGAUGCGGCUCAACCGUGUUAUGCACUUGAAACUGAUUUACUGGAGUGUUGGAGAGGCAAGUGGAAUUCCUGGUGUAGAGGUGAAAUUCGUAGAUAUCAGGAGGAACACCGAUGGCGAAGGCAGCUUUCUGGACCGAUAUUGACGCUGAGGCGCGAAGGCGUGGGUAGCAAACGGGAUUAGAUACCCUGGUAGUCG